GGAUUCAGGUUUUUACUUAUAAGUGAUAUAUAGAACAAUGUUCUCUUAUUUGUGCAUUGGAUAUCCGUGAUUUGCUGUUAUGGUAUUUUUACCGUUGCUUUGUCGUUGAUAAUAAUUUGAAAAGAGAUUGUAUUAACUGCCAACUCCCAUGACUAGGAAAUUUCUAUCUGGAGUUCUUUGUGACUAAUGUUCAUAAUUAUUUUUUCAGGUGAUACCUCUGCAUCUUCCUCCAGGUGACACAUCAACUGAAAGAACAUUGAAAAUUGAUGGGACACCUGAGCAAAUUGAGUCUGCAAAGGAGUUGGUUAAUCAAAUCAUCAGUGGCGAGGUAUGUUUAUGGUGCUUCUUUUUGCCACAUUUGGCCUAGGCAUAUCUGUCUGGUUAUGCCAAGUCUCGUCUAGUGUUUAAAAUUGUUGUUUUUCUACUUGGUUUUUCACUCUGUAUGUUGCACAGUCUACUUAUCUUAUAGACCGAUUGAUAAAAAUAGGUUAAUGUACGUAGCUUUAUGCGAUUGUUAGAUGAAUACUCCGUGCUUCUGAUUGCCUGUUGGAUCUUUCUAUAUUUAUGGUAUUAAAAUAUAAAACUAGAUCUGAUUCACCCUGUAACAUGAUACAUGAUUUUGCAGUACUCUUUGAUUUGUUCCUUUGCAGGGAAAAAUUGUUUUGGUAAAUCAUGUGAUGCUUUUUACUAUAGUUUGCAUAAAUGAGUUUUAUUUUUUUCAUAUUAAUUAAUUCAUUGAUCUUAUUAAUGAUAUAUUAUAACACUGAUCAUUAUUACUUAGCAUUGUAUAUCAUUGAUGGUUUUGAUCUCGACUGAAGCAGCUUUUAGCUGUAUGGCAAUUAUUAGUUAACUUGAUGCGUAUUCUGGACGCUUUGAUAUCUCUUCUAAAGCAGCUUAGUUCAUAGUGUAUGUUUUUAGAAGUAGUAUGUUUCGAGAGCCUAAUGUGCCUUUCACAAGUGAUUUUUAUUAUAUGGUACUUAAACAUUGAUACGACCUCUGUUACCUAUUGUAUUGUUCUCAAAAGAAAAUCAGUAUAUAAUUUCAUAUUGUGCAACUGUUUCAAGACUUUUACAAAGUAAUACUCAAAGGUAGAAAAUAAACUAAACCUCUAGUGGCUGUUACGAUGUUCUUUCUUUUAAUCUCCAACUCUCAUCAAUGUAAUUUAUUCAGCUCGCCAGGUGGAAAUAUGGUUAGGGAGACCGUUCACUGCUAUAGCCAUAGUUUAUUAGCUGUAAUGUUAACGACUGUAUGGUAUCCUGUUCUAUGAACAGUCUUUAUAUACUGGCAAUAUGCACCUUUCUUUAUGUUUAGUCUCGGAUUAGGUGAUGGUCAUUAACUUUCAGGAUCUUCUAAUUCUGGCUUGUCAACUGGUUUUUACGUUUGUGUAUGUGCACUCUGCUCUGUAUAAUUAGCUAACACUUCUUGGCCAUUAUCUUUUAUCCAUCCACAAACUAAGCAAUAAUUGAGAUUUGGACUUUCAGUUUUCUUGACCAAGAUACCAUACUUUUUUACAUAGACCGUUUUUUAACUGUGGUGAAGUUUUUCACCUAGCCCUGUGCUUUCGUCUUACAUUGUUUUUGUUGGUUUAGAUUCCUGGGGGUGGUGAAGGCUACUGUUAUUAUGAAUAUUUUUGGGUCCUGAUGGAUACUCAUUGAGAUUAUAGCCUUCCGACAUUGGAAUAUGAUUAUUAAUUGUGUAUCCUAUGACUGAUAAUGUUAUUGGGACUGUUGUAGGGUUAGUGUCUAUUGGACUAUUGGUGACACCAACAUGAAUCCCUUUGUUGGUGUUCCCUCAGCGUGCCCUGGUAUGGUUCUAAAUCUCAGAUAUUUAUUAUCAAGGGCAGUAAGUCUCCUACUAUAUUAUUUGACUAUGGUGUCAUUAUUAGACUGAAUAUUGGAUUGUGUUGAAAAGGUUUCAACUUGGUCACUUGUGCUUUUCAGUUCAUAUCUCAACAAGAACCUUUAUGUACUUGGAAUAGUAUUUUAUCCUCGGAUCUUAUACAUGACUUUCAUUUGGCAUCAGUAACCUGAAAGUUGCCUACCGUGCAACUCUUUAAUUAUUUUCCCCUACUAUUAUUCUUCUCCAGCUUUAAAUAGUAGUUUUCUGAACUAACCAGUUAUCUUCAAGAUUUCUGUUAAGAUUUAUCUGUUGUACAUUUUGUACCACUUCUAUUCAGCCUCAUCGUUCCAUUAUUUUUCUUUUUCUUAUUCGUUUUCCAUGAAAAUAAUAUUUAAUUUUAACUUUUAAUUCCCUAGGUUGAACUAUUAGAUUGGGUUGUACAAAGGUUGAGAGUAUGUAUAUGGGAGCGCAGAAAGUUGUCUCAACAGUCUAUAUAUUUGAAUUUAGAGUUACGCCUUCAUCUUAAUAUACAGUGAAAUACUCUUUCAAUUAACCUGAAUACGAAUGAUAUAUUCUAUAUUGUAUGUGUAACAAUUGGAUUAAGAUCUUGCAUAUUUUGAGAUACUAUAUGAUGGAUUGCCCUUUCGAGGCAAUAAAUAUUGAAUGCUUGUUUGCUUCUAUGGUCUGUGCUUUCUUUUGUACCCAUCCAACUCGAAUAGGGAAAGGGUGUGCUUCUGCUGGAGUAACUCAGUUUUAUCACGAACCAGUACGGUAUGUAGGUAUUCAUAUCCCUUUCUGAUCAUGUAUGCAACCUGUUAAUGCAAGAUAAAAAACCCUUUAUAUCGUAUUUAUUAUAUGUUGAUUUUUGCAUUUGUAAGUUUAACCUGUGUACGUGUGCAUAUGUUGCUUUCUGUACUUGUCCGAUGUGGAAACUUGGGUGAAUUCACUUUUCAUAUUUGGUUUCAAUUUGUCUGCACAGAAUCGUCUUAGAAAUCCUGCAAUGUCUGGUGGUUAUCCUCAGCAAGGUUACCAAUCUCGUCCACCCUCUAACUGGGCUCCCCCUGCUCCAAUGCAGCAGCCUGGUUAUGGUUAUAUGCAGCCUGGUGGAUAUUCUGGUCCAUCACCUCAGUAUAAUAUGCCUCAACCACCAUAUGCGGGCUAUCCUCCUCAACAACCAGGUGGAUAUUCCACUAGCUGGGACCAGUCUUCUGCACCACCUCACCAACAGUCUACUCAUGCUGGCGGCUAUGAUUACUAUAGUCAACAGCCACAGCAACCGCAAAAUCCUGGAGGGCCAGCACCUCCAGGGGAUAGCUCUGCAUACAGUUACAGUCAACCACCUUCAUCUGGUUAUAGCCAACCGGGACAGGGUUAUUCUCAGGACAGCUAUAAUGCAUACAAUGCACAGUCUCAAUCAGGGUAUGGACAGCCACAAACAUAUGAUCAGCAGCAAGGCUAUGGCUCAGCUACUACUGGCUAUGGUAGUGGGAAUAACCAAGCGCAAGAGGGCCACACUGCAAGCUAUGCAUCGCAGGGAGAUUCAGGCCCAGCUCCAUCUACCCAACCGACCACACAACAAGGUUAUCCUACCAGCCAACAGCCCAGCUCAAACACUGCCAACUACCCAGCUCAGGGAACUCCUCAGUCAGGUUAUGGGGUUCCCCCGACCUCCCAAGCUGCUUAUGGAAGUCAACCACAGCCAGGUUACGGACCUGGUUAUGGAGCCCCUCAAUCUCAGAAACCAAGUGGCAAUCCUCCUGUUUAUGGACAGUCGCAGUCACCCGGUGCGGUGGGAGGCUAUGGUCAGUCAGCAUAUCCUGCUCAGCCUCCACCUUCCGGUUAUACUCAACCCCAAGCAGAAACGGGUGCUCAGAGAGCACCUCCAUCGGGCUAUGGUGCAGGGCAACCAGGUUAUGGUUCUCAAACAUAUGGUGCAGCUCAGGGUGGCCAGCCUGCUUAUGGUCAGGUACCACCUCCUUACAGCAACAGUUCUUAUGGUGCUGGUUAUACUCAGGCUCCCGCAUAUACUGGCGAUGGUAAUGGCAGUGGAAAUACGCAGCCUCCUCAGACUGCUGUUGCUAAAGCAUCGCCUCAGACUUGAUAUUUUUGUCUCCCUUCUCUCAUGGACUAUCGUUUUUAGUUGUGUUUUACUGAUCCUUAUUUUUCUAGUGACACUAUGUAGCGUUGCAUUGUUUAGAUGGAAAAAAUCGUGUAUUGAUAUUUUCUACAUUAUCCGGUUCUGUAUGGUUGAAUAGGAGCUCAUUUUUAUGUUGUUUGAAGUUGAGAUGAAAAUAACUUCCCAUUUUUAUGCUAGUUUCAGUUGUAAAUAAGGCUUUAAGGUUUCGUUUGGAAUAGAGAUUUUUUAAGAAUUAUCUUAUUAUGAAUUUAGUGAUUUUUGUAAGUGUUUUGAGAAAAAUUUAAAAUAAAAUUAUAUCCAAACGUAACUUUUUAAUAAAUUAUGAAAACAAUAAUAUUUUUUAUGAAAGUAUCUGUUAACACGGGUAACAGAUUUUUGAAUCCGAUUCUGUAGAAAUACAUACAAACGAAGAAAGAGAGUAUAAUAGAAUUUGAAAACUUAUAAAAAAAAUUGACCGUUUUUAUACUUGUAAAAGUUAAUACUUUUAUUUUUCAUUUUGGUAUUUUAUUGCCCAAGAAUAGCAUGUUUUAUUUUCAUCUCUUAGUGGAUUUUGCAUAAAAAUUGAAUAAUACUUGAUGAUGCUUGUUUGGUUUAGAGUGUUAGAUGGAUGUGAAAAAUGAAAAUUGUUUAAACCAAUUCCAACUCAUAUAAUAUUGAGCUAACAUACACUAAAAUCAUAUUCUAAAAAGAGGUAAGUCUGUCAAAAUUUUCUAAAAACUUGCAACUAUGGUUUAGAUAAUUGGACAUGACACUUUUUUCAAAAUCGACCAAUUCAAUCUAUAAAUAAAACUAUUGUAAUGUCGAAAAUUCAAAUCUUUUCCCAUAAAACCCAAUGUUAAAAAUAUUAGUGACUCUUGGAAUAUUAUUGGUGAGCAAAACAGAAAUGGGAAUUGGAUUUUCUCUUUUGCCAAGGCUAUUUGAAACUGUGGAUCAUAACUUCUGAUAAUUUCAUUCAAAAAAUAUAUUUUAAUAUAAAGUGAAAGUUAUAUAUUUAUCGAAAAUAAAAAAUAAAUAUUAAAAAAGAUAACAAAGAGAAAGAGUAAUAGGAAUGCCGUUAUCUAAAUUAUAAGUCAGUUGUUAAUAUACUAACUCAUUAUAAAGUUUCUCUUAAGUCAUAUAUAUUUAUUUUUUUUCUUAUAAGAUUCUUAGAUAUUUUUAAGAAUUUAUUAAAGAACCUCAUUAAUUAAUAUUUUUUAAUUCAACCCUUAUUGUUGGAAGAAAAAAAAAGAUUGGUUAUAUUCUGAAAAAAGAAAACUUAGUUGAAUCCCUAUUAAAGUACACGAUUAUACAUUUAUUUAUAAAUACAUCCAAUAUUAUCGUUAGUGGAAAAAUCAUUUUUUAUGAGGAGUAAAAAUGAUUUAUUAUGAUGGGUAACCUGACAUAAUAGUUUUGGGCAUCAUAAUAGGUCUGCACAUUUUAUGACGGACAGAAAAGUCCAUAAUAAUAGGUCCUAUUAUGACGGACUUUCUGUCAUCUAUUAUAAUAGGUCCAGUGUAUUAUGACGAAUUUUCACUUAUCAAUCAUAAUAUAGCGAAUUUAUUAUGAUGCAACUAAAUUUACCUAUGAUAAUAUGUAGUGUUUUAUGACUAAGAUUUUUUCACCUGUCAUAAUAUGUAGAACAUAUAAGUAAUUGUUCACCUAUCAUAAUAUAUAUUUUUCAGAAAUAAGUUUUUAUUACAAACAUUGUUCACCACCUAUAAUAAAAACUUGUUUUGUAAAAAUAAAUCAUUAUUACAUUUGACAUAUCCAUUCAAUUUACAAUUAAUUUCCUGUAUUAUAAUCCCAUCAAUCAAUUUAUAAUCAAUAUAACAUGAAAUGAACAUAUUCAAUUAAACUAACAUAAUGAAAUUCAUUUUAAACAUAAUAAUAUUUAAUACAUAAUUUGUACAUCAAACCAUAUAUUAAUUCCAAAUAUAACAUUAACCUAUACUAUUACAUUGUAGUCAAGUUUCUACAAUUUACUAACAAUUAAAAUAAAAGAAAUCCACUUGUUUCUAGUGUCUUCAAUGUCUAGAGUCCAUUAGAGAUGAAUAAGUAAAGAUUUAUAAAUAAAAUAAUUAAGUUAGAAAAAUUUUAUAAUGAAGAAAUUAUUUUAUCAUACUAAGGUAUAGAAUAACAAAAGAUAAGACAUAACCAUGAAGGUCAUUUUACAGAUUGUUACAUCUUGAACAAUGGUCUGGAUAAAGCCAGAGACUUGACCAUUACUCCAAUGAUAAAAUAAUCACCAUUAUCAUAUAGCACAAAUACUACAACAAGCAAUAUGAGUACGUACCAACUUACUUUUUAAAAAUGACAUCAGGUUCACAAGCAAGAUCAAGUAAACAAAAGCUUUUUAAAAGACAACAGAGACAUGGAGCACCAAAAUGUGAUAUACCUAGGUUGCAUUUAUGCUAUCACGGUGAAACUGACAUAUCUUUCCAAGAAGUGAAACAACAUUGUCAUAUGCCAUUACGUUAUCAAGGAAGUUGUGCAUUUGGAUGUCUUAUCACAGUAUCUAACCUUGAGAGUGUCUCUACAGUAGAGCAGAUAAAAAAUAAAAUAAAAAAGAUAUAUAAUUGGCCGCGGAAAAACAGUUAAAUGGUGGUAUUGGGCAACUAACCUCCAACAAGGGGUUUGAAAACAAAUCCACCAAACUCAUCACACACACCAACACUAUAAACAACAGCCUGCAAAGACAUUUAAUUAUUUUGAGAAUAUUAUUAUCCCAGAUUAUAUUCUAAAAAUGGAAAGCAACACUAAUAUAUAGAAAACCAAGAAGGGGAAGUUAACUUUUCGAACAUCUGGAUAUUCAUCAUUGCAAGCUUCUAGUAAGAAUGGAAGGAAAGAAUCAUACUAUUUGUGCAACAAAAAGAAACAUGUAAAAAUAUAGAACAAAAUCAUUCAGGGUAAAGGGGAUAAAUUUUUUUUUUGCAAGGAAAUGUAGAAAAUCCACACAAGAACGAAAGACAUGGGACUCCCACAAGGAGGAAGCACUUACUUGAGAGCAGUUUCACGACAGUGCUCAAAAACAUCAUCAAAUAUACAAAUGGCAAUUCUCCUUUCCUAUGAGGUUUUAUCUUAGCCCUGAUAUUGAUUAUCAAUGGCGGAGGGACGAAAUGGGAUCAGAAAACAAAAUGGAAAAAAUUUCUAAGCUCAUAAUUUGUACAAAUAUAAAAAUGUCCACAUUCACAAAUAUAGACAAGUAGUUCAGUAGUAAAUUAGUAAUUGACAUAAUCCAAGUUAUUUUCGUGUGCUCUGGGAAGGGGCAUAAGAACAUUAGCAUAAAACCCAAAUUUCAUAUAGCAUUUCAGGAGGUUGCAUCGUCAUGAUAGAGGCUAGUUCACGUGAUAUUAUCCACUUUUUUCACUGGCUACAUCGCCUUUUCCCUAAUAAAAAAUGGCAUAUAUAACAAUCAAGAAAAAUGAAUAUCAACUUAGGAAAGAAAGAUAAUAGCUAGACAAGUUUUUUUUUUUUUCAUUCAAAUUAAUUGCCUUACAGAAAAACAUUUCACAAAAAACAAAAGGAAAUGCCAUGAGAGGAAAGAUAGACAACUUCAAAGCAAGAACGCCAAAAACUUAAGACUAAUUCUAGCAUCAAAUAUGUAUUAUUAGACAGACAGAAAGAAGCUUUUAUAUAUAUAUAUAUAUAUAUAUAUAUAUAUAUAUAUAUAUAUAUAUAUAUAUAUAUAUUAGUCUAAGCUUAACCUGACAAAGAGUUUUAGAUAAACGUGUUCUGUUAAGAUCAAUAAUAAUACAAAAAAAGGUACUCAAAUGUUUCCGUUGAAAGAGAAGUGUAUAAAUGUGGAAGAAAUUCACUCUUAAAGGAGGGUUGUUAGAAUUUAAAGUGUGAGUCUAAAUCUCACAUUCGAUAGAAAUGAUUAGAGAAUCUUGGAUUUUAAUGGUUUCUCUUUCAUGUUCAUCCAUUCCUUCUUCCACCGUCAUCUUUUUUUACCUCCCUUUUAUCGGCAUUACAUUUGACUCGUCCAUAUAUGUUUUUUUUCCCAUGAAAAAGAUGAAUUUUGUUAGUUUGUUUAUAGUCGUGGUGACUCUCCAAUAAUGAUCUCUUUAUCCACUAGAUGACAACAAUGCAUUCCUCAACCUUAAUUUGAAAAAAGAGAUUUACAUGGAGCAACUUUCCAAAUUUGUUGCUCAGGAGAGUCUUUUGGGUUGGUAUUUCAUCUUCUAUGUUGUCUUGAAAAUCAUUAGCAAUUUAGUGUCACUCAAGUGUAGAAGUUGAUAUUUUCACUAAAUCUCUAUAGAUUAUAUUAGUAAAAAGCUCGAUACAUACAAUUUGUAUGCAUUAACUAAAGGGGAAGUGUUAGAUAUAUUAUACAAGUGAGAUUAAUCCCAUACAUAAUUUUUUUCAUUAUAUUCAACAAAACCUAUGACAACUUAUCAAGUUUUAGUUUCUUCAAUCCUCAACAAGCAACAAUGCAUUAAGUUUAAUAGUCUUAAGAUUACUAAUGAACUAUAUUUUAUCCCUAAAUAUAAGCUCUAUUAAAUACUUAAUUUUAGUUUUAGGUUCAAAAGUCAUUUUGCAAUAUCUUAGUAACCAAUUAAGUCACAACAAGAAUUAAACAUAAAAAUCAAAUACCAAUAUAAGAAUGUAAAAGCAUGCGCGCGUACACACACACACACACACACACACACAUAUAUAUAUAUAUAUAUAUAUAUAUAUAUAUUAAUAACAAAAUAUACACAAAAAAUUAGUUUAGGGUUAAAUAUGUUUUUAUUCCCUAUACUAUCAAGCGGUUUUGGUUUUAGUCUCUCUUUCAAAGUAAGGUACAUUUUAGUCCUCCUUCCUAAGGAAACUUUAAUUUUAGUCCUCCAAAACUAACACCAUUAAAAACUAGCUGAUGUGGCUAACACUGUAAUGGCACGUCAUUUUUUUUUCUAACAUUAGUCAAUCUCCUUCAUUCGAAACCCAUGGACCACCACCAAGCCGCCAUCUGCACAUGGUUGUUGUUUCUCUGAUUGCAGGUGGCUUUUCACGGCAGCAAUUUAGGGCAUUUGGAGGUCGCGAUUUUUUGGUGUAUUUUCUGCAUUUUAGGUUACGAAGAUGGUGUCGCUGGUCAUGGGAGAUACUCGUUGAUGAAGACCGCGAGUGAAGGUGACUCUACUUCACGAUGGUGCUUAAUGGCGAAGGCAUGGUGGCGAGUCUGGAUUUGAGUUUUGUUGUAAGUGAUGGUGGAACAUGGAGCAGUUUUGUUGAGUCACGAUUUGCGACUUCUGUUUUGAAAUCUCUAUGCGAAGAAGAUGGAGGUCGAGGGUGAUGAACCCAUUGUGCUCUGGUGACAGCGGCCCAUGUUGAGGAUGCGAUUUUGGGUUCCCUUUUAUUCUGGGCUUCUGUGUUUUCUCUGACAGGUGCGAGAUCGAUGAUGACGCGAAGGUGGCAAGCUUCCUGGUGGCUGCCAUGGAGGAGAUUGAAUCUUGCGAUCUAGCGAAGAGAAACACGAUACUGGUUGCGCUCUGCGACAACUUAGUGGUGGUCCGAUGAAGAGUUUUUUGUUCGAAGGAUUUGGUGAAAACGAUGGAGGGAGCGGAAGAUGGAAGGAAGGAAACAGAAGGGAGAGAGGGGAGGGAGAAAAGCUGGGAAAAAUUAAGGUUUAAUACAUCUUUUGGUCCCAUCUUUUGGGACUUUUGUUCAAAAUGAUCCUACCUUCGGAAAAAAAUCACUUUGGUCCCAUAUUUCAUUAAAUGUUGUUCAAAAUGGUCCCUAUGGCAGACGACGUUAAAUUUUUAAUGGUGAAGUUGCUAGCGUGGCAAACGUCUAUCCACCUAUUUAAAAUUUAUAUCACGUGGCUUUUUGAAAACAUUUAAGGGUAAUUAAAAAACCCCUAAUUAAAAUCAAAUUAGAAAAUUAGGGUAGGUAAAAAACCCCUAACCCUAAUUGUUUUUCAAUUGUCGUGGAGAGAAGGCUCUGGGUUGUUCAUCUGCUGUUCAUUUGUCGCGAUUGGAGAUCACGUCAGUGGUGAUUGCUUGAAGGUGGUAGUUCAACAUUGACAGUUUUGACAAUUUUCUUACUGUCACUUUUCAUCAUCUUGUUUUUCUUCUUCUUAAUGUUGUAUUGCAGAGUUAAUUAAGCCCUGAAAUGAAAUUAACUCUAGUGGAGGGAAUCCACGAGUUUCCAGCAAUAAAAUUAGCAACAGUGAAUUUGGAAGCAUCUUCAACCUUAAGAACGUGAAAACCCUGCCACUGCACCCUCCCUGCGGUUCCAGCACCACCUCCUUCAUUGCCGUACUCCGCGAAAUACAAACUCUUCAAAACGGAGCUUCCAUACCCAGGCCACGCCACCCACCCUUUCGCCGCAAUCACUUCGUCGAUUCUACUCUGCAUCACCACCGAUCUCGAAUACUCCUUCCAGGGUCUCCCCAGAAACGAACUGUGCGACUGCUUAAAGUCCGAGGUCGGCGAUAUACUGCUCUUGUGAACGGAGAACCCAGUGUUCUGCCCGGGGUUAGAUCUAAAAACAAUUAGGGUUGGGGGUUUUUAAUUACCCUAAUUUUCUAAUUUGAUUUUAAUUAGGGGUUUUUUAAUUACCCUUAAAUGUUUUCAAAAAGUCACGUCAUAUAAAUUUUAAACAGGUGGAUAGACGUUUGCCACGCUAGCAACUUCACCGUUAAAAAUUUAACGUCGUCUGCCAUAGGGACCAUUUUGAACAACAUUUAAUGAAAUAUGAGACCAAAAGAUGUAUUAAACCAAAAAUUAACUAGUGUUAGAAAAAAAUGAUGUGCCAUUACACUGUUAGCUACAUCAGCUGGUUUUUAAUAACAUUAGUUUUGGAAGACUAAAAUUAAAAUUUAUUAAGAAAGAGGACUAAAAUAUACCUUACUUUAAAAUAUGAACUAAAACCAAAACCGCUGAUAAUAAAAUUGAAAUAAAUAAAUAAAUGUAAAAUAAAGUUUAUUUAUAACAAUGUAUCUUUAUUUUUUUGAUAGUUUAUUUAUACAAAGAAACACCCAUAAAAAUUGAAAUAAAGUUGGAAGUCCAUGGAUGACGUAAAAAGGCCUCAUUAUUUUAUUUUGGUUGUACAAGGGAAGCAAUGUAAAAUAUCUCUUCUUUUUUUUUCUCCACUACCCCACCCAAGGGAUCACACUAGCCACCACUAUAAAUUAUAAAUAUUAGCACAGCCUCUCUUACACACCUAACAUCUCUAGGGUUUGUGUCAAUGGCGGACGAAACUCACUAUUCAUCUCCCAAAGACUCUGCGCCCCUCAAACGCAAGUACGAAGACCAAUCCUCCGACAGGCCCACUGGCUUCUCGGCAGGUCCCGCCACCGGCAUCGAGCUCGCCAAGCAGCGUGCUCAAGAAGUUGCCGCCCGCCUCCUCAGCGUUGCUCCUCCUCCCCCGCUCGACGCCAAGCGUCCCAAAUCCGAUAACGGUGCUCCUACCUCCGGCUUCGAUUCUUAUGGUAACUAUCUGUCCCUCUCUGCUCCACACUUCUGCUCGUUUAGGUUAGGGUUUAUAAACUCUGAUUUCCGUGAACGUAGAUGCGAAGCCUCAGUACUCUGCUGUUCCUCCAGUCUCCUACAGUCACCAAGGAACGAGCAAGAAGAUUGAUAUCCCUAACGGCCGGGUUGGUGUGAUUAUUGGCAAAAGUGGAGAGACCAUUAAAUAUCUUCAGUUGCAGUCUGGUGCCAAAAUUCAAGUUACUCGCGAUAUGGACGCCGACCCUAAUUCUGCUACCAGGACCGUUGAGCUUAUGGGCACUCCCGAGGCAAUUGCCUCUGCAGAGAAACUCAUUAAUGAAGUUCUUGCCGAGGUUAAACUCAUUUUAUACUUCUCGUUUUCUUUUUCUGUCAAUCACAAAUGGACUAGAUUUCGUUUAUCUACCAAGGAGGAGUGUUUCCUGAUGAACUUCUCAAAUGUUUAAUUAUUGCAAUAUGUAUGAUGAUAACCUCUUCUAUACCAGGCUGAAUCUGGAGGCUCUGGCAUUGUUGCUCGAAGACUAACCGGACAAGCUGGGUCAGAUGAAUUUGUUAUGAGAAUCCCAAAUAAUAAGGUGUGAAAGGCAGAUUUGUUGAAGUGUAUGCUUUGUACAAUAUCAUAAGUGAUUCUCGAGUUCAGGUAUGUGGUUCUUCUGUCUGUUUGGAUUAAUAUGUUCAUUGUGGGCAUCUUCAGGUUGGCCUUAUUAUUGGAAAAGGUGGAGAAACCAUAAAGAAUAUGCAAGCUUCUACUGGCGCACGGAUUCAGGUUUUUACUUAUAAUUGAUACGACCGUAAUCUUAUUUGUGUAUUAGACAUAGGUGAUUUGCCGAUAUGGUGUUCUUUCUGUAGCCUUGAGAUUGCUACUAAUUUGAUAAGAGAUUGUGAUAACUGCCAACGCUCGGGACUUGGAAAUUUCUAUCGGAGUUCCUUGUGAUUAAUGUUCAUACGAUUAUUUCAGGUCAUACCUCUGCAUCUUCCUCCGGGUGACACAUCAACUGAAAGAACUUUAAAGAUUGAUGGGACACCUGAGCAAAUUGAGUCUGCAAAGGAGUUGGUUAAUCAAAUCAUCAGCGGCGAGGUAUGUUAAUGGUGCUUCCUUUUGCCACAGUUGGCUUAGGCAUAUCUACCUGGUUAAGCCAAGUCUAGUUCAGUGUUUACAAUUGUUGUUUUUCUACUUGAUUAUUCUACUUGAUUUUGUACCUGGUUAAGCCAAGUCUAGGUUAACUUACUUGCAAGCUUUAUGUGAUUGUUGUAUGAAUACUUUGUGCUUGUCAUUGCCUGUUGGACCUUUUUAUUUUUUUAUGAUAUUGAAAUAUAAAAUUAGAUCUGAUUGAUCCCUGUUGCUUGAUACAUGUUUUCUGUACUUUCUCCGAUUUGUUUCUUUACAGGUAAAAAGUUCGUUUGGUAAAUCAUGAGAUGGUUUUUACUUUAGUUUGCAUAAAUGAUUUUUAUUCUGUUCAUAUUAAUUAAUUUAUUGAUCUUAUUAAUGAUAUAUCAUAGCACUAUGACCAUUAUUACUUAACAGUGUAUAUUAUUGAUGUUUUCAUCUGGAAUGAAGAAGCUUAGCUGUAUGGCAAUUUUGAUGCGUAUUCUGGAUGCAUUGAUAUCUCUUCCAAAGCAGCUUAGCUGAUAGUGUCUGUUUAUGGAAGUAGUGAUUUCUUCAGAGUGUAAUGUGCCUUUGGCAAGUGGUUUCUAUAAUAUGAUACUUAAAUAUUGAUAUGACCUGUUACCUAUUGUGUUGUUCUCAAAAGAAAAUUAGUACAUUUAAUUUCAUAUUGUGCAAGUGUUUCAAGACUUUUACAAAGUAAUUCACUACGGUAGAAAAGAAACUAAGUCACUAGUGGCUGUUAUGAUGUUCUUGCUUGUAAUCUCCAACUCUCUUCAGUGUAACCUCAUCAGCUCGCCUUUUGGAAAUAUGUUUAGUGAGACCGUUCACUGCUAUAGCCGUCAUUUAUUAGUUGUAUUGUGGUGUGAACAACUGUAUAGUAUCUUGUUUUAUUAACAGUCUUGACAUACUAGCAAUAUGUGCCUUUCUUUAUGUUUAGCCUCGGAUUAGGUGAUGGUCAUUAACUUUCAGGGUCUUUCUAAUUAUGACUUGUAAACUGCGUACUUAUUUUGUGCAUGAGUAUUGUGCUCUGUAUAAUUAGCUAAUACGUCUUAUCCAUUAUCUCUUUUAUCCAUCCACAAACCAAUGACUUUGGUAGCAAUAUUUGAGAAUAGGCUCAGUUUUCUUGACUAAGAUACCAUACUUUUACAAAGACCUUAUUUUAACUGUGGUGUAGUUUUGCACCUGGCCCAGUGCUUUGGAGAGUUUCCUUUUUCGUUUUUAUUGGUUUAAAUCAGUGGGGGCUGCGAAGGCUACUGUUAUUAUGAAAUCUUUUGGUCCAGAUGGAUACUCAUUGAGAUUAUAGUCUCUCGACAUUGGAAUAUGCUUAUUAAUUGUGUAUCCUAUGACUGAUGUUGUUAUUGGGACUGUUGUAGGGUUAGUGUCUAUUGGACCAUUGGUGACACCAACAUGAAUCCAUUUGUUGGUGUUCCCUCAGCAUGCCCUGGUAUGGUUCUAAAUCUCAGUUUUGAUAUUUAUUAUCAAGGGCAGUAAGUCUCCUACUAUAUUUUUUGACUAUGGUGUCAUUAUUAGAUUGAAUAUUGAAUUAUAUUGAAAUAGUUUUCAACUACCAAGUGGUUUUCAGUUCAUUUCUCAAAAGAACCUUUAUGUACUUGGAAUAGUAUUUAUCCUCGUAUGUUAUACUGGACUUACAUUUGGCAUAGGUAAUCUGAGACGUGCCCAUUGUGCUGCACUUUAAUUAUUUUCUCUAUUCUAUUAUUUUUGUCCAGUUUUAAGUAGUAGUUUUCUUAACUAACCAGUUAUCUACAAGAUUUCUGCUAAGAUUUGUCUGUUGUACAUUUUGUGCUACUUCUAUUCUGCUUCAUCAUUCCUCUAUUUUCUUUUUCUUAUUAGUUAUCAACUUAAAUAAUAUUUAAUUUGAACUUUGAAUUCGUGAUCCUGAGGUUGAAUUAUUAGAUUGGGUUGUACAGAGGUUGAGAGAGGAUGUACAUGGGAGCACAAAAUAAUUGCCUCGACAGUCUGUAUAUUUGUAUUUAGAGUUGAGCCUUCAUCUUAAUACAUUGUUAAAUAUCUGUAGUUCCAGUCAGACUUGUUGAAUUAAUAUGAAUACAAGUAUUAUAUUGUAUAUUGAAUAGCGUAACAAUUGGAGUAAGAUCUUGCAUAUUUUGAGAUACUAUAUGACGGAUUGCCUUUUCAAGGCAAUAAAUAUUGAAUGCUUGUUUGCUUCUAUGGUCUGUGCUUUCUCUUGUACCCAUCCAAUUCGAAUAGGGAAAGGGUGUGCUUCUGCUGGAGUAACUCAGUUUUAUCACGAACCAGUACGGUAUGUAGGUAUUCAUAUCCCUUUCUGAUCUUGUAUGCAACCUGUUAAUGCAAGAUAACAUACCCUUUAUAUCGUGUUCAUUAUAUGUUGAUUUCUGCAUUUGUAGGUUUAACCUGUGUACGUGUGCAUAUGUUGCUUUCUGUACUUGUCUGAUGUAGAAACUUGGGUGAAUUCACUCCCUUUAUUUUUGUUUUCUAUUUGUCUGCACAGAAUCGACUUAGAAAUCCUUCAAUGUCUGGUGGGUAUCCUCAGCAAGGCUACCAAUCUCGACCACCCUCUAACUGGGGUCCCCCCGCACCAAUGCAGCAACCUGGUUAUGGCUAUGUUCAACCUGGAGCAUAUUCUGGUCCAUCACCUCAAUAUAACAUGCCUCAGCCACCAUAUUCAGGCUAUCCUCCCCAACAACCAGGUGGAUAUUCCACCAAUUGGGACCAGUCUUCUGCACCACCUCACCAACAGUCUACUCAUGCUGGUGGCUAUGAUUACUAUAGUCAACAACCACAACCGCAAAAUCCUGGAGGUCCUGCACCUCCAGCUGACGGCUCUGCAUACAAUUAUAGUCAACCACCUUCAUCUGCUUAUAGCCAACCGGGACAGGGUUAUGCUCAGGACAGCUAUAAUGCAUAUAAUGCACAAUCUCAUUCGGGGUAUGGACAACCACCAACGUAUGAUCAGCAACAAGGCUAUGGCUCCGUUACUGGCUAUGGUAGUGGGAAUAACCAAGCACAAGAGGGCCACACUUCGGGCUAUGCAUCGCAGGGAGAUUCAGCCCCAGCUCCAUCAACCCAACCGACCACCAUUGCACAGCAAGGUUAUCCUACCAGCCAACAGCCCAGCUCAAACACUUCCAACUACCCACCUCAGGGAACUCCUCAGUCGGGUUAUGGCGUCCCCCCUACAUCCCAAGCUGCUUAUGGAAGUCAACCACAACCAGGUUAUGGUCCUGGUUAUGGAGCCCCUCAAUCUCAGAAACCAAGUGGCAAUCCUUCUGUUUAUGGACAGUCGCAGUCACCUAGUGCAGUAGGAGGCUAUGGUCAGUCAGCAUAUCCUGCGCAGCCUCCACCUUCUGGUUAUACUCAACCCCAAGCAGAAACUGGUGCUCAGAGAGCACCUCCGUCGGGCUAUGGUGCAGGGCAACCAGGUUAUGGUUCUCAAGCAUAUGGUGCACCUCAGGGAGGCCAGCCUGCUUAUGGACAGGCGCCGCCUCCAUACACCAACAGUUCUUAUGGUGCUGGUUAUACUCAGGCUCCGGCCUAUACUGGCGAUGGUAAUGGCAGUGGGAAUACUCAGCCUCCCCAAACAACUGCUGCUAAAACUUCGCCCCAGACUUGAUAUUUUCCCCCCUCCCUCUUUUUCAUGGACUUCUUUUUAGUCGUGUUUUGUAGUUGUUUAUUCUACUAGCGAUACCCACCUAUGUAGCGUUGCAAUGUUUAGAUGUAAGGGUUCGUGUACUGAAAUUUCCUACAUGUUGAAUAUUUUUGUAUGGUUAAAUUGGAUCUCAUGGUGAUGGCAUUUGAAAAAAAUGGGGAACUUAAUUUAAGUUGCCAAACUAUGUGUCGAUUUUCAUCUAAUUUUUAGUGAGUUCAACUGAC
Molecule: long non-coding RNA, 16360 nt
Filed under: Vigna radiata
Lineage: Eukaryota; Viridiplantae; Streptophyta; Magnoliopsida; Fabales; Fabaceae
Description: long non-coding RNA (VRAD_LNC003875)
Source: RNAcentral